GCUGGGCACAGUGGUGCAUGCCUGUAAUCUCAGAGGCUCUGGAGGCUGAGUCAGGAGGAUUACCAGUCUCAGCAAAAGCAAGGUACUAAGCAACUCAGUGAGAUCCUGUCUCUA
Molecule: small RNA, 114 nt
Filed under: Marmota monax (woodchuck)
Lineage: Eukaryota; Metazoa; Chordata; Mammalia; Rodentia; Sciuridae
Source: RNAcentral